Molecule: long non-coding RNA, 1649 nt
Organism: Dermacentor silvarum
Lineage: Eukaryota; Metazoa; Arthropoda; Arachnida; Ixodida; Ixodidae
Exons: 3
Source: RefSeq, a predicted model, not a curated record
CUGCGCGGAAAGGAAUCGACAGCGAACAAGCAUUACCUUAUUCCGGAAAUGCAACACCAGGAAAAUCCCUAACGGGGAUGCAACAAAUCGAACAGGUUUCUUACUCUUUGCCAACCCCGCCAUUAGGCAAAAUGGAAAAGGCAGUGAUAACAUGCUGGCGAGGUCCUGGAUAGCUCUCAGACUGAAGAGAGAAAGAGAUAAAUUAUUCAAGGAACUGAUUAGCCUAGAAGCAGCCAAGGCGGAAAGCUGAUCAAUUCACUUUGCCACUCGCGAACGAAUAUGAUGCUUUAGAAAAGCAGACUGAAGACACGAAGAAAGCUGACUGGUUCUCUCAGUGCACAUUGAGGAGGUGCGGAAAAGAAUUCCGCCGUGUCUGUAAGCAUGUUUUCAGCGGCAUAUGUGACUUGAAUCCUAAUACUUAUGAGUGGCAGCUUAGGAUGCAGCGCACACAGCGCUGUGCGAGUCUCGUCUGGCACAGAGAGCGUUUUCCCCUGUCGUCCAGUUCUUUCUUGCACCAUGCUUUGGGAGGCAGUGCCUUCUUUUUGUGUGUCUACGCUGGUGUGCACUACGUGCUCAACACGUCUGCCCACCACUGCAGUCAGCAGCAACGGUGAACACCGAGUGGUCUUCGCAGACGACGACCAGCCGGUUGGUGUGAGCGGCACCGUGAAAGCGGCACCCAGGUCUGGACACACUGGGAAGCCCCGAGCGUCGUCGCAACCGGCCUCCGCCCACGUCCUCGCUCCCAAGGUCGUCGGCCGGCGAAGUGUUUCGUUACUACCUCGGCAACGGCCAUGCCACUGCAGACGCCGCUCGCGUACGUAGCCAUUCCGCAGCACACCUAGCUUGGCGCUCAAGUUCCCAUUCUACACGCCUUCGGUGCCGUUCUUCCCGCUUCCGCGAAACGUAGGGCCCUUUUAUCAGCUGGCAGUUUCAAUCGCGACAACAGUCGCUGUUUCCCUUCAACUAGUACAGCGCUUGUUCACACGGCCUCUUUGCAUUGUACGCGAUUCUGUUUUUCGCUCCUGCCAAACGCCUCCUGUAUACUAAAUACUUGUAAUAUGCCCCAACCUUUAAUAAGAAAAUUCUGAUCCUGAAAAAAAAAAACACAUCUCAGUGUCCUAUGCGAGAUUAGAACUUUCCUUCAAUUAGAUACCCUCGUCUGUAACAAAGCGAAGUAUUGCAGGCGUGGUGAACAUGGCUGUUGCUGCCGCUGUCUUGUCCAAUAGCUGACACUGAAAGCGAGGCGGCUUAUAUCUACGCUAGCCAUAGAAUGGGCUCGCUCUAUUCGUUACGUAGUUACGUAGUGAAAACAUAAUGCGGAUCCCACGCACUGUGGAAAUCGAUGUCUUUCUGUGCUGUUUGCAUUGAUUGUCGAUAAUGGGCGGGGAUGUUUACGGCGAACAUUUGAUUUCUUAAGCAUUUAGUGCAAUGCGAGAGUGGCGAUGUCCCUUUAAAACAUUACCUGGGGUGUGUACCAUUUGUGUGUGCUAUGGUAGUACACAUAGCGCGACUCGUUUGCUUGGGGCAUUGUUGUACGCCCUUGUUCAGAGCCUUCCAGAUUAGCCCUGUCAUGCCUCACACGGCGCAUGGUAUCGUGGCAUAACUUGAGUUUAAUCAUACGCCUUUACUUGCCAAACCCACAUUAU